Molecule: transfer RNA, 76 nt
Filed under: Thermoproteus uzoniensis 768-20
Lineage: Archaea; Thermoproteati; Thermoproteota; Thermoprotei; Thermoproteales; Thermoproteaceae
Also listed under: 1 other name
Description: tRNA-Asp (GTC) (tRNA-Asp-GTC-1-1)
Rfam family: tRNA
About the family: Transfer RNA (tRNA) molecules are approximately 80 nucleotides in length. Their secondary structure includes four short double-helical elements and three loops (D, anti-codon, and T loops).
Source: RNAcentral
ACCGGUCGUAUAGUCCGGACUAGUAUGCGGGCCUGUCGAGCCCGUGACCCGGGUUCAAAUCCCGGCCGGGGCGCCA